CAGGAACAGAGGGGGUUGAGGGCCCUGCUCGAUGAGCUUACAUGCUAGAGGGAGUGGGGUAUAGUGACACAAAGGGUUAAAGUAGGGGAAUUAAAUAGUCUGUUACAGAAGGGUUUAUUGAGUGCUUGGUAGGUAAUUUUUGACAGGUGCAGGAACGGAGUCAUGGGGUGGGGAAUGAGAAACCUGCUAACAGUUUAAUUGAUACGCUUUAAUGAAGAAGUGAGUUUUCAAAGAUUUUUUGAAGGAGUGGAGGCUGGGUGAAAGUCUGAUUGAGGAGGGAAGGGAGUUACACAGAAUAG
This is a non-coding RNA of Pelobates cultripes (western spadefoot toad), 299 nucleotides long. The record is from the annotation of a GenBank genome assembly. NCBI's taxonomy places the organism in Eukaryota, Metazoa, Chordata, Amphibia, Anura, Pelobatidae.